AUGCAAAGCCAUAACCAUCUUAACGUUGAUAUUUAUCGUGUUUAUCCCUGCCUCUCCGGAUUACUGAGUUCAGGGAGACCGGGUAGGAGGGCGGCGAAGGCUGGGAGGAGGGGAGGGAGUGGAAGGGUGGAGUGGGGCGGGGAAAGGGGGAGCGGUGAAGACCUCACGGAUUGGACCCCAGGAGGAAACCUGGAGAAGGCAGCGAUUUCAGGGAAGAAAGGAAAAUGCGAAGUGACGCAAAGAGGAGGAAAAGGGCUGCAGGCAACCGUGCGGGCAGCGCUGGACUGGGAGCCCCAGAAUUGGUAGUGCACUUCUUGGAGGAGAAAGAAGAGCAGGAAACCUCUUUGCUUCUUUUGGAGACGAGGGUGGGAAGAGACAUCCUUGAAGCAGCUCAGCCCAGGCCAUGUGGUUGGAAAUUCAGCUUGGACCCAAGGAGGUAAAAGAUUUUGUGAAUGGGAAGCAAAUACCCCUUGAGUGAGAAAGGUUGCAAACCCGUGGUUUGCAGAUGUGUUCUGUUUACCUCUCACAAUGUUUAAAAUCUUAAAAUUCGUCUCCAAGAUUUAAAAAACACAGAUAAAAAUACAGAAUUGUAACUUCUCUUGAAAAUGACAAAUAUGGCUCAUUUUUUGCCUGGCUACAUGCUGCUAUAGCUGACUAGCUGCUGCCCCCUUUAGACAGGGUGUACACGCUAUAUGCUGGGCUCAAUGCAGUCAUUUAUAUUGGCUGCCUAACCACUGGUGGAAUGAAUGUUUGGAAUAUAUCAAAGUGUGAAGGUCUUCACAGAGUAGUUUGACUUAGCAAGCGAUGAUCUCAGGGUUUGGGGGAGGGGGUUUGUUUUGUUUUGUUUUUGUCUUUUUAGGGCUGCAUCUGAAAUAUAUGCAAGUUUCCAGGCUAGGGGUCAAACCGGAGCUGUGGCUGCCUGCCUACACCACAGCCACAGCAAUGCAGGAUCCAAGCCCCAUCUGUGACCUACACCACAGCUCAUGGCAAAGCCAGAUCCUUAACCUACUGAUCGAGGCCAGGGAUUGAACCCUCUUCCUCAUGGAUACUAGCUGGUUCAUUACUGCUGAGCCCCAAUGGGAAAUCCAUCAUUUUAUCCUAAGUAAAUACAAUGAGCUCAGAAAUGGCAAGUUAGCAGAAUUAUAUAUGACAACUGUACGUGUCCCAUAUCGCAAUUAUCUGUCCCUUGGCACAGGGAAAGGUUGGAUUGUGUCAGGUUAACAUUUUAUUUUAUUUUUAUUUUUGGGCUGCCUUGUGGCAUAUGGAGUUCCUGGGCUAGGGAUCAGAUUCAAGCCACACAGUUGUGAACUACACUACAGCUGUAGCAACGCUGGAUCCUUAACCCAUUGUGCUGGGCUGGGGAUUGAUCCUGUGCCCCAGUGCUCCAGAGAUAGCACCCAAUCCUGAUGCACCACGGCAUGAACUCCUAUUUAAAAUUUUAAUUAAAAAUGGAAAUAAUUUUUUUGUGCUAUGCUUUCUCCUUACAAAUGAAUCUCCCUGAAAUUCUUAGCUAGUAGAACCUAGGAAUUAUAGUCAAUUGUGAAGGACUGUCCAAGAAGGGAUCCCCCAAAGUGUUACAGAAUCACGAUAAUGAUCAUGACAACAAUGUCUUGACAUUUAUUGAGCAAUGACCUGAAUUGUCACACUAUUAUAUUUCAGUUUCCUAGUUGCUAUCUCAGCUUUCUUUUCUUCUUCUUCUUUUCUUAAUUUUUUUUCUUUUUAAGGCUGGAUCUGUGGCAUAUGAAGGUUCUUAGGCUAGGGGUUGAAUUGGAGCUGCAGCUGAUGGCCACAGCCACAGCCACAGCAACUGGGGAUCCGAGCCACGUCUUCGACCUACACCACAGCUCACGGUAAUGCCAGAUCCUUAACCCACUGAGCAAGGCCAGGGAUCAAAACUGCAUCCUCAUGGAUAUUAGUUGGUCAACAACCAAAAACCAACAACUCAACUGAAAAUUGGGCAGAAGACCUGAACAGACAUUUCUCCAAAGAAGAUAUACACAGAUGGCCAACAGGCACAUGAAAAAAAUGCUCAACAUCACUAAUUAUUAAAGAAAUGCAAAUCAAAACUACAAGGUGGAGUUCCCGUUGUGGCUCAGUGGUUAACGAAUCUGACUCGGAACCAUGAGGUUGCUGGUUCAAUCCCUGGCCUUGCUCAGUGGGUUAAGGAUCCGGUGUUGCCGUGAGCUGUGGUGUAGGUUGCAGACGUAGCUCGGAUCCCGCGUUGCUGUGGCUCUGGCGUAGGCUGGUGGCUUCAGCUCCAAUUGGACCCCUAGCCUGGGAACCUCCCUAUGCUAUGGGAGCGGCCCUAGAAAAGGCAAAAAGACAAAAACAACAACAACAACACAACCUACAAUGAGGUACCACUUCACACUGGUCAUGAUGUCCAUCAUUGACAAGUCAAUAACUAACAAAUGCUGGUGCAGUUCCCCCAGUGGCUCAGCGGAAUCUGACUAGUAUCCUGGCCCCUCUCAGUGGGUUAAGGAUCUCGUGUUGCUGUGAGCUGUGGUUUAGGCCAGCAGCCACAGCUCUAACUCGAUCCUUAGCCUGGGAACCUCCAUAUGCCACGGGUGUGACACUAAAAAGCUAAAAAACAAAAACAAUGAGAAAACAAAUGCUGGAGAGGGUGUGGAGAAAAAGGUACACUAUUGGGGGGAAUGUAAAUUGGUAAAAUCACUAUAGAAAACAGCACAGAGAUGCCUCAGAAAACUAAAUAUAGACCAUAUGACCCUGCAAUCCCACUCUUGGGCGUAUAUCCAGACAAAACUUUCACUGAAAAAGAUACAUGCACCCCUAUGUUCACUGCAGCCCUAUUCACAAUAGCCAAGACAUGGAAUCAUCCUAAAUGUCCAUUGACAGAUGAAUGGAUUAAGAAGAUGUGGUACAUAUACACAAUGGAAUACUACUCAGCCACAAAAAGGAACAAAAUAAUGCCAUUUGCAGCUAUAUGGAUGGAACUAGAGACUCUCAUACUAAGAGAAUAAGUCAGAAAGACAAAGGCAAAUAACCAUAUGAUAUCACUUAUAUCUGGAAUCUAAUAUGUGGCACAAAUGAAUCUUUCCACAGAAAAGAAACAAACUCAUGGACUUGGAGAACAGACUUGUGAUUUCCAAGGGGGAGGGGGAGGGAGUGGGAUGGACUGGGAGUCUGGGGUUGGUAGAUGCAAACCCUUGCAUUGGGAGUGGGUAAGCAAUGAGAUCCUGCUGUCUAGCACAGGGAACCAUAUCUAGUCACUUGCGACGGAGCACGAUGGAGGAUAAUGUGAGGAAAAGAAUGCGUGUGUAUAUGUAUGAAUAUAUAUAUAUGUAUAUAUAUGAAUGAAUGGGUCCUUUUGCUGUCCAGCAGAAAUUGACACAACAAUGUUAAUCAAGUAUAACAGAAAAAAAAUCUAAAAAACAAAACAAAACAACUCUUGCCUUUGGAAUGGGUUAGCAAUGAGGUCCUGCUGUGUGGGAAUGGGAAUGAUGUCUCGUCACUUACGAUGGAGCCUGAUCAUGGGAGCAAAAAGAAUGUGCACAUGUAUGUGUAACUGGGUCACCCUGCUGUAUGGUGGGAAAAAAAAUUGUGUUGGGGAAAUAACAAUUAAAAACAUUUUUUUAAUAAAUAAAUAAUAAAAAAAUAGAUACUAGUCGGG
RNAcentral lists this long non-coding RNA (3631 nucleotides) under Sus scrofa (pig). Its description in RNAcentral is "lncRNA (ENSSSCG00025037488.1)". The record is from RNAcentral. Lineage: Eukaryota; Metazoa; Chordata; Mammalia; Artiodactyla; Suidae.